UGGUGGCGAGUGGCGGACGGGUGAGUAAUGCAUCGGAACGUACCUAGUAAUGGGGGAUAACUAUCCGAAAGGAUAGCUAAUACCGCAUACGCCCUGAGGGGGAAAGCGGGGGAUCGUCAAGACCUCGCGUUAUUAGAGCGGCCGAUGUCGGAUUAGCUAGUUGGUGGGGUAAAGGCCCACCAAGGCGACGAUCCGUAACUGGUCUGAGAGGACGACCAGUCACACUGGAACUGAGACACGGUCCAGACUCC
Molecule: ribosomal RNA, 251 nt
Filed under: uncultured bacterium
Lineage: Bacteria
Description: partial 16S ribosomal RNA
Rfam family: Bacterial small subunit ribosomal RNA
Source: RNAcentral